UACGUAGGGCGCAAGCGUUGUCCGGAAUUAUUGGGCGUAAAGAGCUCGUAGGCGGCUUGUCGCGUCGGUUGUGAAAGCCCGGGGCUUAACCCCGGGCCUGCAGUCGAUACGGGCAGGCUAGAGUUCGGUAGGGGAGAUCGGAAUUCUUGGUGUAGCGGUGAAAUGCGCAGAUAUCAGGAGGAACACCGAUGGCGAAGGCAGGUCUCUGGGCCACUACUGACGCUGAGAAGCGAAAGCAUGGGGAGCGAACAGG
This 253-nucleotide ribosomal RNA is filed under the name uncultured bacterium. RNAcentral's name for it is "partial 16S ribosomal RNA". It matches the Rfam family "Bacterial small subunit ribosomal RNA", at positions 524 to 776 of the family's 1533-position model. The record is from RNAcentral.